CACGGUGUGAUUCAUUACUGGGUUGUAGUCGUAACAAGGUAGCCGUAGGGGAACCUGCGGGUGGAUCACCUCAUUA
Molecule: ribosomal RNA, 76 nt
Filed under: Pseudomonas sp.
Lineage: Bacteria; Pseudomonadati; Pseudomonadota; Gammaproteobacteria; Pseudomonadales; Pseudomonadaceae
Description: partial 16S ribosomal RNA
Rfam family: Bacterial small subunit ribosomal RNA
Source: RNAcentral